Suncus etruscus (white-toothed pygmy shrew) is the source of this 104-nucleotide small nuclear RNA. The record is from RefSeq and is a predicted model, not a curated record. NCBI's taxonomy places the organism in Eukaryota, Metazoa, Chordata, Mammalia, Eulipotyphla, Soricidae.
AUGCUCGCUUAGGCAGCACAUAUAGUAAAAUUGUAAUGAUACAGAGAUUAGCAUGACCCCUGCACAAGGAUGACUUGCAAAUUCGUGAAGCAUUCUAUAUUUUU